RNAcentral lists this ribosomal RNA (373 nucleotides) under eukaryotic picoplankton environmental sample. RNAcentral describes it as "SSU rRNA". It matches the Rfam family "Eukaryotic small subunit ribosomal RNA", at positions 131 to 512 of the family's 1831-position model. The record is from RNAcentral.
UCACUUAUAUGGAUACCCGUAGUAAUUCUAGAGCUAAUACAUGCUGCACUCCUAACUUUUUGGAAGGGAGGUAUUUAUUAGAUAAUAACCAAUAUUCCGUAGGUCUAUCGUGGUGAAUCAUAAUAACUGAUCGAAUCGCACAGCCUUUGGCUGCGAUAAGUCAUUCAAGUUUCUGCCCCAUCAGCUUUAGAUGGUAGUGUAUUGGACUACCAUGGCGUUCACGGGUAACGGAGGAUUAGGGUUCGAUUCCGGAGAGGGAGCCUGAGAAACGGCUACCACAUCCAAGGAAGGCAGCAGCCGCGUAAAUUACCCAAUCCUGACUCAGGGAGGUAGUGACAAGAAAUAACAAGCGGUGGCCUAGCCACCGAAUUGC